Molecule: ribosomal RNA, 788 nt
Filed under: uncultured archaeon
Lineage: Archaea
Description: bacterial SSU rRNA
Rfam family: Archaeal small subunit ribosomal RNA
Source: RNAcentral
ACGGCUCAGUAACACGUAGUCAACAUGCCCAGGGGACGUGGAUAACCUCGGGAAACUGAGGAUAAACCGCGAUAGGUCAUAAUGUCUGGAAUGAUUUAUGGCUGAAAUCUACAUGGCCCCUGGAUUGGACUGCGGCCGAUCAGGCUGUUGGUGAGGUAAUGGCCCACCAAACCUAAAACCGGUACGGGCUCUGAGAGGAGAAGCCCGGAGAUGGGUACUGAGACACGGACCCAGGCCCUAUGGGGCGCAGCAGGCGAGAAACCUUAGCAAUGUGCGAAAGCACGACUGGGUCAGUCCGAGUGAUUCCUGAUAAAGGAGUCUUUUGCUUGUCCUAAAAGCACAGGUGAAUAAGGGGUGGGCAAGUCUGGUGUCAGCCGCCGCGGUAAUACCAGCACCUCGAGUGGUCAGGACGUUUAUUGGGCCUAAAGCAUCCGUAGCCGGCUCUGCAAGUCUUCGGUUAAAUCCACCUGCUCAACAGAUGGGCCGCUGGAGAUACUACAGAGCUAGGGAGUGGGAGAGGCAGACGGUAUUCAGUGGGUAGGGGUAAAAUCCUCUGAUCCAUUGAGGACCACCAGUGGCGAAGGCGGUCUGCCAGAACACGUUCGACGGUGAGGGAUGAAAGCUGGGGGAGCAAACCGGAUUAGAUACCCGGGUAGUCCCAGCUGUAAACGAUGCAAACUCGGUGAUGCAUUGGCUUAUGGCCAAUGCAGUGCCGCAGGGAAGCCGUUAAGUUUGCCGCCUGGGAAGUACGGACGCAAGUCUGAAACUUAAAGGAAUUGGCGGGGGAG